GCCAGGCAUGGUGGCGGGUGCCUGUAAUCCCAGCUACUUGGGAGGCUGAAGCAGGAGAAUCGCUUGAACCUGGGAGGCCGAGGUUGCAGUGAGCCGAGAUUGUGCCACUGCACUCCAGCCUGGGUGACAGAGCGAGACUCCGUCUCAA
Unclassified non-coding RNA from Pongo abelii (Sumatran orangutan), 148 nucleotides. It matches the Rfam family "Metazoan signal recognition particle RNA". Rfam says of the family: The signal recognition particle (SRP) is a universally conserved ribonucleoprotein. It is involved in the co-translational targeting of proteins to membranes. The record is from Ensembl. NCBI's taxonomy places the organism in Eukaryota, Metazoa, Chordata, Mammalia, Primates, Hominidae.